UGUUACUGUACCGCAUAGCAAAGACCAGAAAGCCAGGGACAGCUCCUACUACCACCAAACAGUUGGUGUCUGGCCGAGAUGAGUUCCAGACUGAGGUCCAGCGGCCUGCGUUCAGGAGACAAAAUGGCCGCCCAUCCAUUGUCUCGACCAUGUGCGUUCGCAUGUACGAAAUGGAGGCCACCCAGUGGAGCAUUCAAUUAGUUCAUUCCGUUGUGGUUUUCGCACAGGAUACUUAACAUUCCAUGUUCUAAUGGGUCUCUGGGGUGGUC
Molecule: non-coding RNA, 269 nt
Organism: Pelobates cultripes (western spadefoot toad)
Lineage: Eukaryota; Metazoa; Chordata; Amphibia; Anura; Pelobatidae
Source: the annotation of a GenBank genome assembly